GCUCCCCCUCUCUCAUCCUUUGUCUCUGGUUGAGAGUGCUUUCAAAAUGCAAUGCACUGGGGCAAGGAUUCUGGAGGGUGAGC
Molecule: microRNA precursor, 83 nt
Filed under: Pteropus vampyrus (large flying fox)
Lineage: Eukaryota; Metazoa; Chordata; Mammalia; Chiroptera; Pteropodidae
Description: miRNA (ENSPVAG00000026090.1)
Source: RNAcentral